UUUUUAAAAAUAUUUCAAAAAAAAAAAAUGGGGGUUUCUCAAUUUUAUUCAAAAAAAGGGACGAAUACAGACUUUUUUGAAAAAUUUUUCAAGUAAUAGUUUUCCGCCUUUGAGCACGUAUGGAUCCUUUUAUUAUGUCUCGUCGAAAAUCUGGUUGUUG
Molecule: non-coding RNA, 160 nt
Organism: Arachis ipaensis
Lineage: Eukaryota; Viridiplantae; Streptophyta; Magnoliopsida; Fabales; Fabaceae
Source: RefSeq, a predicted model, not a curated record